Long non-coding RNA from Oncorhynchus tshawytscha (Chinook salmon), 1328 nucleotides. The record is from Ensembl. Lineage: Eukaryota; Metazoa; Chordata; Actinopteri; Salmoniformes; Salmonidae.
GAGAAAGCGUGCGUGUGUUUGUGUGAGAGAAAGCGUGCAUGUGUUUGUAUGAGAGAAAGCGUGCGUGUGUUUGUGUGAGAGAAAGCGUGCGUGUGUUUGUGUGAGAGAAAGUGUGUGUGUCAGAGAAAGUGUGCGUGUGUUUAUAUGAGAGAAAGCGUGCGUGUGUUUGUAUGAGAGAAAGCGUGCAUGUGUUUGUAUGAGAGAAAGCGUGCGUCUGUUUGUAUGAGAGAAAGCGUGCGUGUGUUUGUAUGAGAGAAAGCGUGUGUGUGUUUGUAUGAGAGAAAGCGUGUGUAUGAGAGAAAGCGUGUGUUUGUAUGAGAGAAAGUGUGCGUGUGUUUGUAUGAAAGAAAGCGUGUGUAUGAGAGAAAGCGUGUGUUUGUAUGAGAGAAAGCGUGUGUAUGAGAGAAAGCGUGUGUUUGUAUGAGAGAAAGCGUGUGUAUGAGAGAAAGCGUGUGUUUGUAUGAGAGAAAGCGCGCGUGUGUUUGUGUGAGAGAAAGCCGUCGUCUGUUUGUGUGAGAGAAAGCGUGCGUGUGUUUGUGUGAGAGAAAGCGUGCGUGUGUUUUCUGUGAGAGAAAGCGUGCGUGUGUUUGUAUGAGAGAAAGCGUGCGUGUGUUUGUGUGAGAGAAAGCGUGCGUGUGUUUGUGUGAGAGAAAGCGUGCGUGUGAGAGAAAGCGUGCGUGUGUUUGUAUGAGAGAAAGUGUGCGUGUGUUUGUAUGAGAGAAAGCGUGCGUGUGUUUGUGUGAGAGAAAGUGUGUGUAUGAGAGAAAGCGUGCGUGUGUUUGUGUGAGAGAAAGCGUGCGUGUGUUUGUAUGAGAGAAAGUGUGUGUAUGAGAGAAAGCGUGCGUGUGUUUGUAUGAGAGAAAGCGUGCGUGUGUUUGUGUGAGAGAAAGCGUGCGUGUGUUUGUGUGAGAGAAAGUGUGUGUAUGAGAGAAAGUGUGCGUAAAGCGUGCGUGUGUUUGUGUGAGAGAAAGUGUGCGUGUGUUUGUAUGAGAGAAAGCGUGCGUGUGUUUGUGUGAGAGAAAGUGUGUGUAUGAGAGAAAGCGUGCGUGUGUUUGUAUGAGAGAAAGUGUGUGUAUGAGAGAAAGCGUGCGUGUGUUUGUAUGAGAGAAAGCGUCGUGUGUUUGUGUGAGAGAAAGCGUGCGUGUUGUGUUUGUGAGAGAAAGUGUGCGUGUGUUUGUAUGAGAGAAAGCGUGCGUGUGUUUGUGUGAGAGAAAGCGUGCGUGUGUUUGUGUGAGAGAAAGUGUGUGUAUGAGAGAAAGUGUGCGUGUGUUUGUAUGAGAGAAAGCGUGCGUGUGUUUGUAUGAGAGAAAGUGUGUGUGUGAGAGAGA